AAGAAAUUAGUUAAAUAAUAACAUUAAUAUGUCACAUUAAAAUUAUUAAUUAUAUUAAUAUCUCUUU
This 67-nucleotide transfer RNA is filed under the name Phyllocrania paradoxa. RNAcentral's name for it is "tRNA-Asp". Lineage: Eukaryota; Metazoa; Arthropoda; Insecta; Mantodea; Hymenopodidae. The record is from RNAcentral.